CCUAGUAACGGCGAGUGAAGCGGCAACAGCUCAAAUUUGAAAGCUAGCCUUCGGGUUCGCAUUGUAAUUUGUAGAGGAUGAUUUGGGGAAGCCGCCUGUCUAAGUUCCUUGGAACAGGACGUCAUAGAGGGUGAGAAUCCCGUAUGUGACAGGAAAUGGCACCCUAUGUAAAUCUCCUUCGACGAGUCGAGUUGUUUGGGAAUGCAGCUCUAAAUGGGAGGUAAAUUUCUUCUAAAGCUAAAUAUUGGCGAGAGACCGAUAGCGCACAAGUAGAGUGAUCGAAAGAUGAAAAGCACUUUGGAAAGAGAGUUAAAAAGCACGUGAAAUUGUUGAAAGGGAAGCGCUUGCAAUCAGACUUGUUUAAACUGUUCGGCCGGUCUUCUGACCGGUUUACUCAGUUUGGACAGGCCAGCAUCAGUUUCGGCGGCCGGAUAAAGGCUCUGGGAAUGUGGCCUCCACUUCGGUGGAGGUGUUAUAGCCCAGGGUGUAAUACGGCCAGCCGGGACUGAGGUCCGCGCUCGGCUAGGAUGCUGCGUAA
This 538-nucleotide ribosomal RNA is filed under the name Aureobasidium pullulans. RNAcentral describes it as "partial large subunit ribosomal RNA". It matches the Rfam family "Eukaryotic large subunit ribosomal RNA", at positions 79 to 633 of the family's 3401-position model. The record is from RNAcentral. Lineage: Eukaryota; Fungi; Ascomycota; Dothideomycetes; Dothideales; Saccotheciaceae.